UGGUGGAGUGAUUUGUCUGGUUAAUUCCGAUAACGAACGAGACCUUAACCUGCUAAAUAGUUACGCCGAUUUCUAUCGGUGGCCAACUUCUUAGAGGGACUGUGGAUGUUUAAUUCACGGAAGUUUGAGGCAAUAACA
Molecule: ribosomal RNA, 138 nt
Filed under: uncultured eukaryote
Lineage: Eukaryota
Description: partial 18S ribosomal RNA
Rfam family: Eukaryotic small subunit ribosomal RNA
Source: RNAcentral